UACGGGGGGGGCAAGCGUUGUUCGGAAUUACUGGGCGUAAAGGGCUCGUAGGCGGCCAACUAAGUCAGACGUGAAAUCCCCCGGCUUAACCUGGGAACUGCGUCUGAUACUGGGAGGCUUGAGUAUGGGAGAGGGAUGUAGAAUUCCAGGUGUAGCGGUGAAAUGCGUAGAUAUCAGGAGGAACACCGAUGGCGAAGGCAGGUCUCUGGGCCACUACUGACGCUGAGAAGCGAAAGCAUGGGGAGCGAACAGG
This 253-nucleotide ribosomal RNA is filed under the name uncultured bacterium. RNAcentral's name for it is "partial 16S ribosomal RNA". It matches the Rfam family "Bacterial small subunit ribosomal RNA", at positions 524 to 776 of the family's 1533-position model. The record is from RNAcentral.